This is a long non-coding RNA of Homo sapiens (human), 2398 nucleotides long. Ensembl annotates it as family with sequence similarity 95 member A. Its record names the gene FAM95A. NCBI's taxonomy places the organism in Eukaryota, Metazoa, Chordata, Mammalia, Primates, Hominidae. The record is from Ensembl.
AGCAUUCUUCCAUCUGUAGAUGUUUCAGCUGCUGUACAAGGGAGUCCCAUUUCAGGUGUGGGGCUGGGCAUGGUCACUCCUGCUGGAUGUCUGGAAGGUGAAAACCAAGGACCUAGGGAAAUACCAGGUACAGCCUUUCCACCCUCAUCCAGAGCAGGACAAACAGGCCAGGUGGUAUCAGGAGCCCAGGUCUCCAGCUGGAGGGAAUGUCAACCCUGCAGUGGGAGCCCAUCACGCAUCCUAGGCACAGAUGCUAAUGUAGGCACCGCGGGUAAGCUGAGCUUGGUACCCCUCCCUGGCUUCAAAAAUAAGCCAAACAAGGAGCUUUCUGCAGAAUGAAACCUGUUUUUCAUCCAGAAGCACUGCUGACUGUUUGGUGGUUGCUGUUGGGGCAGUGAGCCUUUUGUCCAUUCUGAGAUUGGGCUGGUUUCUCCUCUUGGCCCUGCCCUACAGACCAUAAAGGAAAACAGCAAGAGGUCCGCAGCAAACAUCUACAGAUGGCCCUGGACAUCAGCCACAUUCUGAGAAACAUGUCAUGUUCUGGGAGGGCUAAGGCAUCAAGUAAGGCCUCUGGGGCUGGAGGAUCCCAGGGCAGGUGGGGCAAUCCAGAGCUGUGGGGGCUUCCAUGGGAAUUGGGAGGUCUCAAGGCAGAGGGAGGGGUUCCACAGGAGGAGUCACAGAGCCACCAAGGGGUCUCCUGGCCCAGGGAGCAGCCAACACCAUGGACUGAACACCCGCUGGGCUCCAAGCCCUGGGCCAGGCUGGGGCAUAUGGGGCCAGGAGGCAGCUCAGAGUGGGAGACAGAGAGACAAGUGUGCUCAGAGGGCACCCGUAUCUGGAUGUAGUGUGGUCCUGAGUUUCUGGCUGGGAAGCGCUUCCAGGGUUUCAUAUGUAUUAUGGAGCUGCUUCCUCUCUCCAGGCUCACCCUGCAGGAAUCCCAGUGAAUAUAUUGCCACCAUCUUGGAGCUCAGUGCCCUCUUAGUGUAAUGGCACCAGCAGAUCUGCCUGUGCACGGACUUCCUGUACUACCUCACUCCUGAGGGGAGAUGCUUCUGCAGGGCCUAUGACCUGGUGCACAACUUUAGACACCAUCAUCCUGGAGCAGCACCUCACCCUCACUUGCCGGGGUGUUGAUGACUUCCUCAAGGCUAAGGCCACAUUCAAGAUUUUGGACUUCAGUGAUGCAUUUUUGCUGAGCAAGGUGGGCUUCUCCGGGAUUUUAGUUCAGGAGGUAGAAUGCAGCUUGAGAUCAAGUGUCUGAUCAAAUAACUUGAACUUGAUCUGGAGAGCUCUGGGGAGCCAUAGAAGUUGUUGGAUAAAGGAGGGACAGUCGUAUAUGUUUUAGAGAUGACUGUGGAAGGCUGCCUGGAAGGAGUGAACAAGAGCCAGGAGACCAGGGAGGGAGCUUGUGGGGCAGGUCUGGAGAUGACAAGGGAGGGAUCCUGCUUUGAUGAAAGGUCUUCAGGGAAUGUCUCAGGUUACACUCAGGUGUCCUCAGAGCUAGUGUGUUCAGGGGUCUUGCCUCCAGGAUGAAAAUGAGAAGGAGUUGUCAGACAAGAACAUAUAAAUGAAGGCUGGCAUCUUCGUGAGUGCCAAUCGUUGUCCUGGUGUGGACUACUGUGGGAAUAGGGGUCUCUCCAUCCAGGGACAUGGUGGAUGGACCCUACAUCACUCCAUUCUGCCCUUCCUUUCCCUCCCAUUCUGAGGGCCUCAGUGCAAGGGCGCUGUCCAACCUCUGGUGCUGAAGCAGCCGAGAGACCCAAGCCUGCCACUCAGGAUAUGACAGCACAGCCAGUGGCCUCUACUGGAUCCUGUACAACCUCAGAAGACACCUAGACACUGGGAGUGCUGCCACCACGUGGUGCAAGAGUUCUGAGGGACCGCAAUUCUGAAGACAUUGAAUGCUGCUUCCUGCUCCCUCCAUGGACCUGCACAGAAUUGUCCCAUGUUUCUGUUUGUUUGGGCACCACUGAGGAAGGAAGCAUGAAGGACGCAGAGGUCAGGCCAUUCUAUUGCCCUCCUGCUGCUGGGUCUUUAAUCCUGAGAUGGCUUCAGGGGCUGGUCCUUCUCCAUGGCCCCCUCCACAUAUCUCAGCCAUUUUGCAAACCCUGGUCAGAAUGAAACAUUCCUUGGGAACUCGGGCCAUGAGAAGCAUCCUUCCUGACCACCUGACUGCGGAAACAUCCUUAUCGCAUCCUCCCGGGCGAAGGCCCAACAGCCUGACUGCAGGAACAUCCUUGCCAUAUCCUGCCGGGCAGCAAGCUCUACCGCCCAGACCCCUCCUUCCCAGUCCCAUGAUCGCCCCAGCCUGUGAGCGGCAGUUGGUGAUGGCACUAAGCUGAUUUCCUCCUCUGCAGGGUUUUGCUAGUAAUAAAGGUGUUGCUGUUGAAGCCACCAA